AGCUAAAGGUAAUUGAUAAUUUAUACUGUAGUGUUUUUUGAAAUAUUAAACUGUGACACGUUAGAACAACCUGCAGAAUUUUUAUUUUUAAACGUGUUGAUGUGACUUUUGAUUAAAGUUAUUGUACAGGUCAGGACCGCCCGUUUGCUAUAGAACUGUAACCUGAAGCACAAUGAAAAUUUUCUUUUUCCUGAUCGUCUGCUUAGCCGCAUCGCAUGCUCUUCCCAAAGGAGGUUUGUCAAAAAGACAAGGAUACUUUGAAGGCCAACGAUUUAUAAUUAGAUGUAACUGGCAGUUCGAGCCUUGUGGUGUUAUUAAUGGGGAAUUCUAUGGAAACUGCUGUCAGGCCUUCCAUUGCAGCAGCUGGUCUCGAUUUUGUCUGUUAGAUUGAAGCGACUCAAGUUUCUGAGCGAGAUGAUGAGAUUAGACGCCACUGAUGGACAUUAAAAUAAAUCACUGAA
Long non-coding RNA from Physella acuta, 461 nucleotides. RefSeq lists it as uncharacterized. The record is from RefSeq and is a predicted model, not a curated record. NCBI's taxonomy places the organism in Eukaryota, Metazoa, Mollusca, Gastropoda, Physidae.